UGUCCUUCCGUGCCUUGUUUAGUCUUGU
Molecule: non-coding RNA, 28 nt
Filed under: Mus musculus (house mouse)
Lineage: Eukaryota; Metazoa; Chordata; Mammalia; Rodentia; Muridae
Source: RNAcentral